This 101-nucleotide non-coding RNA is filed under the name uncultured Dysosmobacter sp. RNAcentral describes it as "THF riboswitch". It matches the Rfam family "THF (Tetrahydrofolate) riboswitch aptamer". From Rfam's summary of the family: THF riboswitch presents a pseudoknot that joins P1-P2 and the loop of P3 and two THF binding. Lineage: Bacteria; Bacillati; Bacillota; Clostridia; Eubacteriales; Oscillospiraceae. The record is from RNAcentral.
CAGAGUAGGGACAGCGCGUCAAGUGCCGGCGGAUGGGAAGUUGCCGCCGGACGAAGGGGCCGGAUCAUGGAGCCCCGCGGUGCUGUGCCCGCAUCCGCUGC